Labrus mixtus (cuckoo wrasse) is the source of this 460-nucleotide long non-coding RNA. RefSeq lists it as uncharacterized. The record is from RefSeq and is a predicted model, not a curated record. The transcript has 2 exons. Lineage: Eukaryota; Metazoa; Chordata; Actinopteri; Labriformes; Labridae.
UGUGUGUGUGUGUGUGUGUAGAGGAGAGAGAGAGAGAGAGAGAAAGAGAGAAAACAAGAUGGUGGAGAGAGACAAUGCACCAUGUGACUUUGUCACAUGUGGACAAAAUGGUGGACAACAAAAGAAGCCGUGUGGCUACCUUUUGAAAUAGUUUGAGCUCUCUGAGCUGAGUUCAGUAACUGUUACUUAAACACCAGAAAGCCAGUGGCCGGACUUUGAUUCAACGGCGGGUACACUGGUCUUUCUGUUUGUGAAAGCCGUUAACUGAGAGUAAGCUAUACAGCAGUGAUUAAACACAGGUAGGUGAAAACGGCAGUUCAGUAACAAAAACAAAUGCAGCAGCUUACAGCAGAUAAUAAACAGAAUGUGACGUUCAGUCAACAAUAAAGCACAAUUAUCAGUUGUUAUAAAAUAAUCCUUCCUAAACUAUUCUGUGCCCAGACUAAAGUCUUACUUGGAA